GAGGAAUAUUGGUCAAUGGGCGAGAGCCUGAACCAGCCAAGUCGCGUGAAGGAAGACUGCCUUAUGGGUUGUAAACUUCUUUUAUACAGGAAUAAAAAGGCUUACGUGUAGGCCAUUGCAAGUACUGUAUGAAUAAGCAUCGGCUAACUCCGUGCCAGCAGCCGCGGUAAUACGGAGGAUGCGAGCGUUAUCCGGAUUUAUUGGGUUUAAAGGGUGCGCAGGCGGGCUUUUAAGUCAGCGGUGAAAUCUGGACGCUUAACGUCCAAACUGCCGUUGAAACUGUUAUUCUUGAGAGUAGAUAAGGUAGGCGGAAUGUGUUGUGUAGCGGUGAAAUGCAUAGAUAUAACACAGAACCCCGAUUGCGAAGGCAGCUUACCGGGCUACAUCUGACGCUGAUGCACGAAAGCGUGGGGAUCAAACA
Molecule: ribosomal RNA, 421 nt
Filed under: uncultured Porphyromonadaceae bacterium
Lineage: Bacteria; Pseudomonadati; Bacteroidota; Bacteroidia; Bacteroidales; Porphyromonadaceae
Description: bacterial SSU rRNA
Rfam family: Bacterial small subunit ribosomal RNA
Source: RNAcentral